UAGGGAAUCUUCCGCAAUGGGCGAAAGCCUGACGGAGCAACGCCGCGUGAGUGAUGAAGGUCUUCGGAUCGUAAAACUCUGUUAUUAGGGAAGAACAAAUGUGUAAGUAACUAUGCACGUCUUGACGGUACCUAAUCAGAAAGCCACGGCUAACUACGUGCCCGCAGCCGCGGUAAUACGUAGGUGGCAAGCGUUAUCCGGAAUUAUUGGGCGUAAAGCGCGCGUAGGCGGUUUUUUAAGUCUGAUGUGAAAGCCCACGGCUCAACCGUGGAGGGUCAUUGGAAACUGGAAAACUUGAGUGCAGAAGAGGAAAGUGGAAUUCCAUGGGUAGCGGUGAAAUGCGCAGAGAUAUGGAGGAACACCAGUGGCGAAGGCGACUUUCUGGUCUGUAACUGACGCUGAUGUGCGAAAGCGUGGGGAUAAAACAGG
This 429-nucleotide ribosomal RNA is filed under the name Actinomycetes bacterium. RNAcentral describes it as "Actinobacteria bacterium partial 16S ribosomal RNA". It matches the Rfam family "Bacterial small subunit ribosomal RNA", at positions 355 to 776 of the family's 1533-position model. The record is from RNAcentral. Lineage: Bacteria; Bacillati; Actinomycetota; Actinomycetes.